AAAAAUUCUAAAAUUUUGCCCCGCAGUCCUUAGCAACAUUAUAGAGGUAACACAAAAGGAAUUAUAAUUUUCUAGCAACCCACGAAUAUUUUAUGAAAUUUUAUUCUAAAUCCAACACUAUAAAAUUGAAGAAACUUGGAGUUCGGGUUUACCUAUGCCAAUUCUGACACCUGGAACGCGUCCAGAACGUCUGAAAAUGCUAGGAUUGACUGUAAUAUUGACCACGUUCUGAGAUUGGCCGUCGGGCAGCCGGAUCUGGCUGAAAAUGCAGUCCCGACGCCGAUGAGCUAUCCUCGAUCCAAUCGCACCUAAAUUAAGUCCAAAUUUUGUUAAUAAUUAUCAUAAAAUUAUUUUUAAAUUUUAGAAAUCGAAAAAGUUCGAAAAUAUCACAAAGCAAUCUAGACCGUCUGAUUAUCGCCUUUUUCAAAUGGUGUUCGAUCCGAGCGGGACUAGUCAUAUCUCGAAGAUUUUGUCGUACUCAGUCCAUUGGUGGCCUCGGAUUUCCGAUCCGACGGUCGGAUCGCCGGAAAAGUGGCCGGAAAGCUCGAAACCCAUAUGUUUUUCUUCCAACUUUCCCUCACCGGACCUUCUCCCUCCGGCCACCGUUGGAGGCGAGGCUGGUUGGUUCUUGAAGCUUGCUAUGCCGGGAGUUGAACGAGCCCAGCCUCGUCGGAAACAACCACCAGAUGACGUCGGAACGAAGCUCGAAAGUGGCAGCCUCGCACAUGCGUCCACCUCCCUCUCUCAUUGAAACUAGCCUCCAUUGCCGCCCUUUGCCGCCUUGCUUGCUGCCGUAGAGGCUCGCCGGAGCAUGCUGGAGACUCACCGGUCUUCAUCGCCAGCAGUGGUGUCCUUUGCCGGCCGGAAAAAUGAAGAAAGCAAGAGAAAGAGAGGGUGAAAGGGAGAGAGUGCGUGGGGGUGAGGGGUGGUUUGCAUGGGUCUGUUUCCAUAUUUCACUUUUUUU
This 964-nucleotide unclassified non-coding RNA is filed under the name Hevea brasiliensis (rubber tree). The record is from RNAcentral. Lineage: Eukaryota; Viridiplantae; Streptophyta; Magnoliopsida; Malpighiales; Euphorbiaceae.